GGUCUGUUAAUCUGCUCCAAAUCGAUGCAGCUGCGGCUGGAGUCAUUUGACUAGGUCAUUUGACAUUUCAACAUGAAAAACGUAGCCUCCUUCGCUCUCAAAUCAGUCAAGUGAGUCAAAUCUCCUUUACAGCAACAUGAAUCCAUAUUUGAUUCCAUUCAAAUCGAUGAACUGAAGAAGUAAGAAGUUGAUUCCAUUCCUUGGCUCCGGUCUGCUGUGGUUUGCACUCUGCAGUUUUCAUUGGGUUUUGAAUUUUGAUUAUCAAUGGAAAAGUUGGGAGUAAGUCUGAGUGUCUAUCAAUGGGUUUUGAUUCAGUUUAUCAGAUUGUCAAUUUUACAUUUCGAUUGAAUAUGAAUAUAUGAUUAUCAGUUCAUUUCAUUUUUUACUUUAGUUCUUUGGCAUUAUGAUUAUGAUAGUAAGCCUUUGCUAGUUUGCUGCAAUACUUACUUACUGUGCCUUGAUUAGUUGAUUGCCUUAAUUGUAAUAGUAAGCCUUUGCUGCGAUAUUUAUGAAUUUAUCAAUUUAGCAGGUUUGUUUUCAGUUUAUGACUUUAGGAAGUUUUAUGUGCCUUGUGAUGAGUUUAUUUAGCAGCCCUUGUUUGAUUCAGUUUAUGACUUUAUGCUUUGGUCAGUUGUACUUGAACUAG
Molecule: long non-coding RNA, 646 nt
Filed under: Rosa chinensis
Lineage: Eukaryota; Viridiplantae; Streptophyta; Magnoliopsida; Rosales; Rosaceae
Description: sRNA RchiOBHm_Chr4g0439771
Source: RNAcentral